Globicephala melas (long-finned pilot whale) is the source of this 537-nucleotide long non-coding RNA. RefSeq lists it as uncharacterized. NCBI's taxonomy places the organism in Eukaryota, Metazoa, Chordata, Mammalia, Artiodactyla, Delphinidae. The record is from RefSeq and is a predicted model, not a curated record.
CUGGCUUUGUGCCACACCAGCCAUUGCCCUAGCAUGACUCUCCUCCUUCCAUUGGAUUCUGCUCUCCAGUCAGCAUCAUCUUGCUAAAGAAGCAUAAACCACAAGCUCUGGGGAAGCUGGUUUGUCUGUCUCACAAGCAGGCCUCAAAGUCUCCUGGCUACCUUCCUAAAUUUCCCUGGAUGUGUGAUCAUGGGAGGACAUGUUGAGAUGCUCUUCUAUCAGCCUGGGCCCUGAUUAGGCCCUCAGAGUAAGCUGCAGGAAUAGGCUUCUGCGGUCUUGGAUCUCCUAUUGCUCCCCCGCUCCCACGAGCUGCCGAGGGCCUUUCCUGGCUUGGAGCCACACCCAAGUCCUCAUCAGCGUGGUCAUCUUCUUUCCAAAAUUGAGCCUACCUACCACAGGGGGACCAGCAUUUACCAGGUCAGCUCCAGGCAGAGGUGAAGGAUGACUAGAGCUGUUAAUGAACACCACCACCAAAAUACUUGUGAUCUAUCGAAUGACUCGAUUCCCACAUGGUGGAUGUCAAGUUUAGUACAUGUG